CUCCUCCCCCGCCGGCGUCCCCAACCUCCUCCCUCUCCGGCGCCGCUGCUCGUUCAGCCCCUCCUCCUCGCGCCACUCCACCGCUCCUCUCCCUCCCUCCUCGUGCCGAGCUGCAGCGACGAGGCCGGGAUCCAGGACCCCUCGCCGGAUCCAUGGCGCGGCGGUGGAGGCCCGCGCGGUCGCGCGAUGGAGGCACGCCAUGGCCGCGGCACCUUCCUCUCUGCGGAGGAGCAGGGGCCCGCCAUGGCCGCGAUGUGCGGCCGUCCUCCCUCUCCCGCCCCCUCCCCCCCUCUCUCUCUCUCUCCCUGCUUCCAUCCUCGCUCGCUCCGCCGGCCUCCCUCCCUCCCCGCGCCGCCGCCGGCCGUGGCUCCCUCCCUCCCCGCGCGGCCGCCGGCCCUAGCUUCGCCCUCCCCGCCACCAACAAGGACAACUGAGGUCGGCGCCGGAGCCGCUCGCGCCGCGUGGGCCCUCAUCCUCCUUUCCCCCUCCUCCUCAGCGCUCCUGCGCAGUGCGAUGCUCGCGCGGCCUCCUCUCCCCACCGGCUCUCUCCUUCCCGCCGCUGCCCCAUCCCCGUGCCGCCGCCUCCCCACGUGAGACGGUGGCGGGCAGCGACGGCGCCACCGGGCUGCGGUGUGGCGCCAACCGCGUGCCCGGGCGGUGUCCGGCACCGGCCGCUGUGCCACGCGAGUGGGCCCCGCUGGUGGCCGCCGACGUUGCUGCCCCCCUCCCAGCGCUGCCUGCUCCCGUAGUACUGACGUGGACACCUCCAGAGCUCACGGAGCCGGCAGUCCCGACAUUCCACCCCGGCGAAGCGAAGGCGGCUGCGACCAAGGCGUUGACGGCGGCGGCAGGUCGGCGGCUCCCGACGGCUCAACAGCCAGGACGCUCAUGGCCGUGACGACCAUAGUUUGGCCGGCGCACAAGGAGGCGGUUGCUCUGUAGCGAUAAGUAUCUUAGCUUCCGCAGCUUCCUUCUUCCCUGACACCUCUCUCUGCCUCAUGUGUUUCCUCAGAUCUAGCCAGCGCGGGCAGGUCGCGCCCGCCGGUGGCGGCGGCGGAGCACCGGGCCGCGCACAUAGGUGGGCGCUGCAAAGCACCGGCCCACGCGCACCGCAGGUGGUUGCGGCUUUGGCUACUAUUGGCGUUCCUUCCGAUCCUCCGAGCUCGCCUCCGUCGCCAACUUCUCAUCGCUGACCUCACCUUCGCCCGGCCGCCCUCGCCGCCUCCUCGCCGACCCUCUCCGUCGCGUGGUCCACCUCCCUGCAGCUCUCCUCCGGCAUCCCGCUCAAGCUGAUUUGUCGGAUCUCCGGUGGGCGCCGCCCUCCGCACCCUCUGCUCGUUGCUAACCGCUAUCUGCUAUGCUCCUCGAUUAGGAGGGGCCAAACUGAUCUAUGGAUUAAUUGCUCCUCUCUCCAGGCCAGGCAUGGUUAGCCUUCUGCGGAAGGAAUCUUAAGGCUGCACCACUAUAUAGGUAAUCCUUGAACAUUUCUUUCAUAUUCCCUUUGUCUAACUUCAAAGUUUAGUCCACCUGUGUACUAAGAUGUGUUAUUGCUGUCAAUUUUCAAGAUUUGGUAUUUGAAUUGUAGUAGUUGUUAAUUUGCUCCCUUUUGACUUCUUGAUCUACCUUGCAUAUACAAGAAAGUGCUGAGAAUGGAUAUGUGCUUGCCAAGCUACUUACAAUUUUCAAAGGUUUUUCCCCCUGCUCUCAUUUCUAGAGUGCCUUUACAUGCAUACAAGCGGCUUCAGGAUCCUCUAAUAGAUUUGCAAGAGCUACUAUUGACUGCCUAGUUGCAAUUAUUACACAUAUUUGAUAAGAUGUCAGGGCCAAGCCUCUUCAACUCCUUUACUUCUGAGUUCUAUCCUUCCCUGGGAAAAAUUUCUUUUGAGAAAUGCAUCUACAUGUUGUGGACUGUUGUUCUAUCACAGGCUCUAAUUGGCUAAAGCAAAUUUCAUAUACGAAAGAGAAGCCCCAGCUCAGACUUGCACAGUAGUUUCUUAUCCAAAGUUUAAAAACAGUAACUUUUGAGUGCAGACUCAUUAUUUUUCAUUUUGGUGCAGGUUCAUAGCAGAUUUUUCUUUGAUAUGGACUAUUUGAAUAUAACUAACCAAAUGCAAUUUGUUGCCUCACUAUCAUUGCCAAUGGAAAAUGAGUUGCCUCUUCCUCCUCGACUCCAAGCCAACUCGAGAUGUCGCGACGGUGGCCUGGGGGGUGUGUUAGGGCAACCACGCAUCAGCAGCAGACAGUCUGUCAUCUAAGCCAAGCUGUCCAUCUAAAGCCAAGCGCAAGUUGCUCGUGUACAAACCAUGUUUGCAGAGACGAGGAGCGGCAUCAAUGAGGGGAAUUAGCUCUGUACAACCUCAUACUAAAAUUGAAAUCUGGAACAAUUGAGAUUUUGCCAGCGGCUAUCAGGAUGUAAUGUCUAUAUCAAGGAGAAACCAAGCCACUCUUUUCAGACUAUCCCAAAACAGCUGCAACUACAGCUCGAUUUUAGAUUAUGUACUUGGUAGUCUCUAGCCUUUUACUAGAGCACCAAAUGUGUUUUGUUGUAAUAUAAAUGUAAUCUACUGUCUAUUAUAAUUCCCUAUAAAUAAUGUAGAAUAUUAAUAUUAUAGCUACCUACUGUGAGUUUUUGUAUCUA
Long non-coding RNA from Panicum virgatum (switchgrass), 2638 nucleotides. RefSeq lists it as uncharacterized. The record is from RefSeq and is a predicted model, not a curated record. NCBI's taxonomy places the organism in Eukaryota, Viridiplantae, Streptophyta, Magnoliopsida, Poales, Poaceae. The transcript is spliced from 6 exons.